UGAAAUGAUGGGGUACAACGAUAUGUUGUGAAAUGAUGGGGUACAACGUUAUGUUGUGAAAUGAUGGGGCACAACGGCAUGUUGUGAAAUCCCCCCUUUUUAUUUAACUGAACAACGGUUUCAAAGUUUUGGUCGGUUUUAAAUCCAAAACUCAUUAUAGCGUAGGUCACUACACAGUCUUUUAAAGACAUAUUCACUGACGUUGACUGAACUGUCAGCCCUCCGCAUGGCGGCUCAUAUGGCCUUUUAAAAGUGCACUGCGCUGUAACCCGCCUUGGAUUGAGUCCACGAUUUGGGACCUGCCUUUAUAAAUUGAAGUUGAUCACUUAAGAAACACUGAGUUACACCCCCUUUUGCCCUCAGAACAGCCUCAAUUCGUCGGGACAUGGGCUCUACAAGGUGUCGAGUCUUCCACGGGGAUGCUGGUCCAUGUUGACUCCAAUGCUUUCCACAGUUGUGUCAAGUUGGCUGGAUGUCCUUUGGGUGGUGGACCAUUCUUGAUACACACAUGAAAAACCAGGCUGCAUUGCAGUUUUUGAUACAAACCAGUGCGUCUGACUAGGGCUGUGGCAGUUAUAUUCUGUCAGGGUUAAGGUCAUGUGUUGGGGACCUAAGGGCUGUGGCAGUUAUAUUCUGUCAGGGUUAAGGUCAUGUGUUGGGGACCUAAGGGCUGUGGCAGUUAUAUUCUGUCAGGGUUAAGGUCAUGUGUUGGGGACCUAAGGGCUGUGGCAGUUAUAUUCUGUCAGGGUUAAGGUCAUGUGUAGGGGACCUAAGGGCUGUGGCAGUUAUAUUCUGUCAGGGUUAAGGUCAUGUGUUGGGGACCUAAGGGCUGUGGCAGUUAUAUUCUGUCAGCUGGUUAUUGUCAAGCAGAAGACUGCCCGUCUCACGGUAAUGGACCGUUAAUGAACAUAAACAUGUUGAUCAUCUCCAGGCCUCCAUUCAAGCUGAUGAUGCACCUUUGGAACAUCUACAUUUUAAAGUCUAAUAAAUCACCUGAUUAAACACCA
Molecule: long non-coding RNA, 1007 nt
Organism: Oncorhynchus tshawytscha (Chinook salmon)
Lineage: Eukaryota; Metazoa; Chordata; Actinopteri; Salmoniformes; Salmonidae
Exons: 2
Source: RefSeq, a predicted model, not a curated record